This 496-nucleotide ribosomal RNA is filed under the name uncultured bacterium. RNAcentral's name for it is "partial 16S ribosomal RNA". It matches the Rfam family "Bacterial small subunit ribosomal RNA", at positions 28 to 507 of the family's 1533-position model. The record is from RNAcentral.
GAUGAACGCUGGCGGCGUGCCUAAUACAUGCAAGUCGAGCGAACAGACGAGGAGCUUGCUCCUCUGACGUUAGCGGCGGACGGGUGAGUAACACGUGGAUAACCUACCUAUAAGACUGGGAUAACUUCGGGAAACCGGAGCUAAUACCGGAUAAUAUAUUGAACCGCAUGGUUCAAUAGUGAAAGACGGUUUUGCUGUCACUUAUAGAUGGAUCCGCGCCGCAUUAGCUAGUUGGUAAGGUAACGGCUUACCAAGGCGACGAUGCGUAGCCGACCUGAGAGGGUGAUCGGCCACACUGGAACUGAGACACGGUCCAGACUCUACGGGAGGCAGCAGUAGGGAAUCUUCCGCAAUGGGCGAAAGCUUGACGGAGCAACGCCGCGUGAGUGAUGAAGGUCUUCGGAUCGUAAAACUCUGUUAUUAGGGAAGAACAAAUGUGUAAGUAACUAUGCACGUCUUGACGGUACCUAAUCAGAAAGCCACGGCUAACUACGUG